Ribosomal RNA from Mesocricetus auratus (golden hamster), 130 nucleotides. NCBI's taxonomy places the organism in Eukaryota, Metazoa, Chordata, Mammalia, Rodentia, Cricetidae. The record is from Ensembl.
GUCUAUGGCCAUACCACCUUGAAUGUGCCCAAUCUCAUCUGAUCUCAGAAGCUAAGCAGGGUCCGGGCCUGGUUAGUACUUGGAUGGGAGAAAUUCAUUUUCAGUUAUGUGAAUCUUUUUACUGAGGAUA